RNAcentral lists this ribosomal RNA (253 nucleotides) under uncultured bacterium. RNAcentral describes it as "partial 16S ribosomal RNA". It matches the Rfam family "Bacterial small subunit ribosomal RNA", at positions 524 to 776 of the family's 1533-position model. The record is from RNAcentral.
UACGGGGGGUGCGAGCGUUGUCCGGAAUUACUGGGCGUAAAGGGCGCGUCGGCGGCUUGGCAAGUUGGGCGUGAAAGCCCUGGGCUUAACCCAGGAAUUGCGCUUGAGACUGCCAGGCUUGAGUGCGGGAGAGGUGAGUGGAAUUCCCAGUGUAGAGGUGAAAUUCGUAGAUAUUGGGAAGAACACCAGUGGCGAAGGCGGCUCACUGGCCCGCAACUGACGCUGAGGCGCGAAAGCGUGGGGAGCAAACAGG